GACGAACGCUGGCGGCGUGCUUAACACAUGCAAGUCGAGCGGAAAGGCCCUUCGGGGUACUCGAGCGGCGAACGGGUGAGUAACACGUGAGUAACCUGCGCCAGACUUUGGGAUAACCCUCGGAAACGGGGGCUAAUACCGGAUACGACACAGCUUCGCAUGGGGUCUGUGUGGAAAGUUUUUCGGUUUGGGAUGGGCUCGCGGCCUAUCAGCUUGUUGGUGGGGUGAUGGCCUACCAAGGCGACGACGGGUAGCCGGCCUGAGAGGGCGACCGGCCACACUGGGACUGAGACACGGCCCAGACUCCUACGGGAGGCAGCAGUGGGGAAUAUUGCACAAUGGGCGGAAGCCUGAUGCAGCGACGCCGCGUGAGGGAUGACGGCCUUCGGGUUGUAAACCUCUUUCAGCAGGGACGAAGCGUAAGUGACGGUACCUGCAGAAGAAGCGCCGGCCAACUACGUG
This 462-nucleotide ribosomal RNA is filed under the name uncultured bacterium. RNAcentral's name for it is "partial 16S ribosomal RNA". It matches the Rfam family "Bacterial small subunit ribosomal RNA", at positions 28 to 507 of the family's 1533-position model. The record is from RNAcentral.